AUAUCAAUAAGCGGAGGAAAAGAAACUAACUAGGAUUCCCUUAGUAACGGCGAGUGAACCGGGAAAAGCUCAAAUUUGUAAUCUGGCUGUCUUCGAUAGUCCGAGUUGUAAUCUAUAGACGUGUUUUCCGUGCUGGACCGUAUCUAAGUCCCUUGGAACAGGGUAUCAAAGAGGGUGACAAUCCCGUGCUUGAUACGACCACCAGUGCUCUGUGAUACACGCUCUACGAGUCGAGUUGUUUGGGAAUGCAGCUCAAAAUGGGUGGUAAAUUCCAUCUAAAGCUAAAUAUUGGCGAGAGACCGAUAGCGAACAAGUACCGUGAGGGAAAGAUGAAAAGCACUUUGGAAAGAGAGUUAAACAGUACGUGAAAUUGUUGAAAGGGAAACGAUUGAAAUCAGUCGUGUUCUUUGGAUUCAGCUAGUUCUUCUAGUCUACUUCCAUUGAACGGGUCAACAUCAGUUUUGUCCGGUGGAUAAAGAUAGUAGGAAUGUAGCUCCCCCGGGAGUGUUAUAGACUAUUAUUGCAUACACUGGGUGAGACUGAGGACUGCAGCUCGCCUUUUGGCCGGUCUUCGGACACGUUCGAGCUUAGGAUGUUGACAUAAUGGCUUUAAACGAC
RNAcentral lists this ribosomal RNA (618 nucleotides) under Cutaneotrichosporon dermatis. RNAcentral describes it as "eukaryotic LSU rRNA". It matches the Rfam family "Eukaryotic large subunit ribosomal RNA", at positions 40 to 648 of the family's 3401-position model. The record is from RNAcentral. Lineage: Eukaryota; Fungi; Basidiomycota; Tremellomycetes; Trichosporonales; Trichosporonaceae.